UACGUAGGGUGCGAGCGUUGUCCGGAAUUAUUGGGCGUAAAGAGCUCGUAGGCGGUGUGUCACGUCGUUCGUGAAAACCCGCAGCUUAACUGUGGGCGUGCGGUCGAUACGGGCAUCACUGGAGUUCGGCAGGGGAGACUGGAAUUCCUGGUGUAGCGGUGAAAUGCGCAGAUAUCAGGAGGAACACCGGUGGCGAAGGCGGGUCUCUGGGCCGAUACUGACGCUGAGGAGCGAAAGCGUGGGGAGCAAACAGG
RNAcentral lists this ribosomal RNA (254 nucleotides) under uncultured bacterium. RNAcentral describes it as "partial 16S ribosomal RNA". It matches the Rfam family "Bacterial small subunit ribosomal RNA", at positions 524 to 776 of the family's 1533-position model. The record is from RNAcentral.